AUUGAACGCUGGCGGCAGGCCUAACACAUGCAAGUCGAGCGGAUGAAGGGAGCUUGCUCCUGGAUUCAGCGGCGGACGGGUGAGUAAUGCCUAGGAAUCUGCCAGGUAGUGGGGGAUAACGUCCGGAAACGGGCGCUAAUACCGCAUACGUCCUGAGGGAGAAAGUGGGGGAUCUUCGGACCUCACGCUAUCAGAUGAGCCUAGGUCGGAUUAGCUAGUUGGUGGGGUAAAGGCCUACCAAGGCGACGAUCCGUAACUGGUCUGAGAGGAUGAUCAGUCACACUGGAACUGAGACACGGUCCAGACUCCUACGGGAGGCAGCAGUGGGGAAUAUUGGACAAAGGGCGAAAGCCUGAUCCAGCCAUGCCGCGUGUGUGAAGAAGGUCUUCGGAUUGUAAAGCACUUUAAGUUGGGAGGAAGGGCAGUAAGUUAAUACCUUGCUGUUUUGACGUUACCAACAGAAUAAGCACCGGCUAACUUCGUG
RNAcentral lists this ribosomal RNA (484 nucleotides) under uncultured bacterium. RNAcentral describes it as "partial 16S ribosomal RNA". It matches the Rfam family "Bacterial small subunit ribosomal RNA", at positions 30 to 507 of the family's 1533-position model. The record is from RNAcentral.